Molecule: long non-coding RNA, 804 nt
Filed under: Physcomitrium patens
Lineage: Eukaryota; Viridiplantae; Streptophyta; Bryopsida; Funariales; Funariaceae
Description: long non-coding RNA (PPAT_LNC006483)
Source: RNAcentral
GAUUCUUUUCAAUUUUUUUUAUACUUGUUGUCAACUUAAUUUUUAAGAAGUUUGCAAGUUUUGAAUUAAAAUUGAUAAUUCAUUCAUUAGUUAUUGAGGUUUAAAUCUAUUAUAGGAAUUACUUGGAAUUGGUUAGGAUUUGGUUAGGGUUUGAUUUAGGAUUUAGGAUUUGAUUAGGAUUUGAUUUAGGCUUAGAAUUUGACUAGAGUUUGAUUUAGGAUUUAGGAUUUGGUUAGGAUUUGGUUUAGGAUUUAGGAUUUAGUUAGGAUUUGAUUUAGAGUUUAAAAUUUGGUUAGGAUUUGAUCUAAGAUUAGGAUUUGAUUUAGAGUUAGGAUUUUAUUAGGAUUUAAUUUAGGAUUUAGGAUUUGAUUAGGUUUUGGUUUAGGAUUUAGGAUUUGAUUAGAUUUUGAUUUAGGAUUUAGGAUUUGAUUAGGAUUUAAUUUAGGAUUUAAGAUUUGGUUAGGAUUUGAUUUAAAAUUAGGAUUUGAUUAGAAAUUGAUUUAAGUAUUAGGAUUUAUUUAGGAUUUAAGAUUUAGUUAGUUUUUGGCCUAAAGUUUGAUUGAAGUCCAAUAGGAUUUUAACUAGGAUUAAAUUAAGAUUGGAUUGAGAUUUAUUUGAGAUAUAUUUGUGAUCAUUCUAAUAUUUCUUUAAGAUUUUUUAUUAUUUCUUUGUAAUUCCUUUAAGGUUUCUUUGAAUUGAUUAAAGCUUGCUUAGCAUUGUUAUGGUCUAAUUAGAGUUUAGUUAGUGUUCUAUUAGAAUUAAGAUUUUAUUGUUGCAAUUUCCAUUCUAUCUUUCACAGCCAAG